ACGGGUGAGUAACGCGUGAGAAUCUAGCUUUAGGUUCGGGACAACCAUUGGAAACGGUGGCUAAUACCGGAUGUGCCGAAAGGUAAAAGGCUUGCUGCCUAGAGAUGAGCUCGCGUCUGAUUAGCUAGUUGGUAGUGUAAGGGACUACCAAGGCGACGAUCAGUAGCUGGUCUGAGAGGAUGAUCAGCCACACUGGGACUGAGACACGGCCCAGACUCCUACGGGAGGCAGCAGUGGGGAAUUUUCCGCAAUGGGCGAAAGCCUGACGGAGCAAUACCGCGUGAGGGAGGAAGGCUCUUGGGUUGUAAACCUCUUUUCUCAAGGAAUAAGAAAGUGAAGGUACUUGAGGAAUAAGCAUCGGCUAACUCCGUGCCAGCAGCCGCGGUAAUACGGAGGAUGCAAGCGUUAUCCGGAAUGAUUGGGCGUAAAGCGUCCGCAGGUGGUGAUGAAAGUCUGCUGUCAAAGAAUCAGGCUUAACCUGAUCAAGGCAGUGGAAACUACAUGACUAGAGUGCGUUCGGGGCAGAAGGAAUUCCUGGUGU
RNAcentral lists this ribosomal RNA (541 nucleotides) under Cylindrospermum muscicola ISB46. RNAcentral's name for it is "bacterial SSU rRNA". It matches the Rfam family "Bacterial small subunit ribosomal RNA", at positions 102 to 676 of the family's 1533-position model. The record is from RNAcentral. Lineage: Bacteria; Bacillati; Cyanobacteriota; Cyanophyceae; Nostocales; Nostocaceae.